UUAAUGGAUGGGUUUUUCUUCACCUCAUAUGUGGAGAAAACAGCUGGUUGGAGGCGCUUGAUAUCAAAUGUUGGAAUGACAACAGUUGUCAAUGUCUGGUCCAGUUUUAUAUCUCCUAAUUUUUCCUUGACAAUUUGGUGUAAAUAUUGGCCAUCAUACUUGGGUCCUGCCAAAGACCUGACCAGAUUGGCCGCAGGAGCGAAGGGAGACCGGUCUUGGUGGAAGAUUUUUGGGCAGUGCUCGAGAUAGAAGUCUGUGAUGUCCUUGGCGGCAAACAAAGGUCGAUUUUGCUCAUUUGGUGCUGUAAGCAUAGCAGUGACGAGACCACCAGUGCUAGUUCCUG
Molecule: unclassified non-coding RNA, 343 nt
Filed under: Hevea brasiliensis (rubber tree)
Lineage: Eukaryota; Viridiplantae; Streptophyta; Magnoliopsida; Malpighiales; Euphorbiaceae
Source: RNAcentral